This 218-nucleotide long non-coding RNA is filed under the name Elaeis guineensis (African oil palm). Its description in RNAcentral is "long non-coding RNA (EGUI_LNC054431)". Lineage: Eukaryota; Viridiplantae; Streptophyta; Magnoliopsida; Arecales; Arecaceae. The record is from RNAcentral.
GUUCCUAUAGUAGAAUUUCGAGCUGUGUGGAAAGGUGUCAUAUGAAAUACGAAUUAAAAAAAAACUCAUAUUAUCCUCGAAAGAAGAUACUUUGAAAGUUGUCAGUUGGCUAUUUAGAUCAGCAUCUUUAGAGUUCAGUACCCAUCCACUAUAUAAGAUUGUUGGAAGAUAGGGAUAAGCCUACAAUCUUUUAGAAUGACACAUGUUUAUAUAGAGAC